RNAcentral lists this long non-coding RNA (253 nucleotides) under Lathyrus oleraceus (garden pea). RNAcentral's name for it is "Pisum sativum (pea) long non-coding RNA (PSAT_LNC031173)". Lineage: Eukaryota; Viridiplantae; Streptophyta; Magnoliopsida; Fabales; Fabaceae. The record is from RNAcentral.
UUUGACUUAUCGGGUUUUAUUUUUUAUACAAGUCCCUAAUUUUUGACUGGAUUGCUCUUUCAAGUUUUCAAUCCAUCGGGACGCCCUAUUUUUUUGCCUAAGUCUCCCUUUCUGGUUUUUGACUUAGCGAUAUUUUUAUCCUCUUUUUUUAUGCAUAGUAUUUCUUGACUGCAUCUGAGUUUAUGGCUCGUGGUAACUCUGCUUCGUCCAUAAUCAUGAGAAUCAUAGCUCUUCCAGAGAAGGCCUUCUUCAC